GUGGGGAAUAUUGGACAAUGGGCGAAAGCCUGAUCCAAUCAUGCCGCGUGUGUGAAGAAGGUCUUCGGAUUGUAAAGCACUUUAAGUUGGGAGGAAGGGCAGUAAGUUAAUACCUUGCUGUUUUGACGUUACCGACAGAAUAAGCACCGGCUAACUUCGUGCCAGCAGCCGCGGUAAUACGAAGGGUGCAAGCGUUAAUCGGAAUUACUGGGCGUAAAGCGCGCGUAGGUGGUUUUGUAAGUUGGAGGUGAAAUCCCCGGGCUCAAACUGGGAACUGCCUCCAAAACUGCAUGACUAGAGUACGGUAGAGGGUAGUGGAAUUUCCUGUGUAGCGGUGAAAUGCGUAGAUAUAGGAAGGAACACCAGUGGCGAAGGCGACUACCUGGACUGAUACUGACACUGAGGUGCGAAAGCGUGGGGAGCAAACAGGAUUAGAAACCCCGGUAGUCC
This 450-nucleotide ribosomal RNA is filed under the name uncultured bacterium. RNAcentral's name for it is "bacterial SSU rRNA". It matches the Rfam family "Bacterial small subunit ribosomal RNA", at positions 354 to 796 of the family's 1533-position model. The record is from RNAcentral.